AGUGAACGCUGGCGGUAGGCCUAACACAUGCAAGUCGAACGGCAGCACAGUAAGAGCUUGCUCUUACGGGUGGCGAGUGGCGGACGGGUGAGGAAUACAUCGGAAUCUACUUUUUCGUGGGGGAUAACGUAGGGAAACUUACGCUAAUACCGCAUACGACCUACGGGUGAAAGCAGGGGAUCUUCGGACCUUGCGCGAUUGAAUGAGCCGAUGUCGGAUUAGCUAGUUGGCGGGGUAAAGGCCCACCAAGGCGACGAUCCGUAGCUGGUCUGAGAGGAUGAUCAGCCACACUGGAACUGAGACACGGUCCAGACUCCUACGGGAGGCAGCAGUGGAGAAUAUUGGACAAUGGGCGCAAGCCUGAUCCAGCCAUACCGCGUGGGUGAAGAAGGCCUUCGGGUUGUAAAGCCCUUUUGUUGGGAAAGAAAAGCAGCAGGUUAAUACCCCGCUGUUCUGACGGUACCCAAAGAAUAAGCACCGGCUAACUUCG
Molecule: ribosomal RNA, 490 nt
Filed under: uncultured bacterium
Lineage: Bacteria
Description: partial 16S ribosomal RNA
Rfam family: Bacterial small subunit ribosomal RNA
Source: RNAcentral